UUAAGUUUUUUAAAUUCUAUUUUGGUUUUAGUUAUUUUUAGUUUAUUUUUUUUUUUCUAAUGUAUUAAAUAUUUUUUUGUUAGUAUUUUUAUUAUAAUUACAAUUUCUUCCACAUGCAGCCAAUGAAUGCCAAGCCUUCUUUCCGUUAGAAAUUUUCUUUGGAAAUUUACUGCAAGAAAGGUUGCAUACUUUUAGGCGCCUUGUUCUAUUUAGUCAUCUAAUAUGAAAUGUAGUGGCUUUUUGAGUUAAGCGGUUACUGGUGUGAAGCGACAAUCUGUCCUGGAAUGUGGCGAAAUAAAAAGAUUAUAAAGCAAAAAUGGGGAAAUUUUAGUAAAAUUUAAGGUAUAAAUGUUUUCAAUGUUCUUAUAAGGAUGUUUAAACAAAUGAAAAAUAUUUUUUAAGUUAUCCAUUAUCAUAUAAAUUCUUGUAACGGUAGAUAAUGGUACUCGCGACACUAUUGGAGCUGCAGAUUAUGUCACGAGCCUUUUUUGACUUCACAAAACAUGAAAAUAUAAACUGUUUUUUAUUUGCCAGACUUUGGACCACUCUGAGGCGACUUAGUAAAAAUUGAUAGACUUUUAAAAUGAAAUAAAUAUAUGCAUGUAUGUAAAUGAUUAGCGCCAUGAGGUGAGUCGAUUUAGCCUUCUGGGUCUGUCUGCCCGUCUGUCUGUAUAUACGCGAAGUAGUCCCUCAGUUUUUGAGUUAUCGCUCUGAAAUUUUGCACACGUAAUUUUUUCACUAAGAAUUUGCUUAUUUAUCCUUAUCGCCGAUAUUGGACCACUGUAUCAUAUGGCUGUCAUAUAAACUGAGCUAUCAAAAUCAAGUUCUUGAGAGAACUGUCUAGGGUAUUCAAGCUUCGGUACAGCCGAAGUUAACUUAUUUUUUGGAAUGUCGGCUUUUCGGACAAUAUUUUCGCGGUGUAUAAGAAAAAAAUGUUUUUUUUUUUGGCCCAGCCUAAUGUCCAUACCUGUGUAGGUAUAGCCGUAAUCGGUUGGUUUGGGCUUGGCUGCAAGGUGCAAGUGUCGUGCAACUAAUUGCUUUAAUUAUUGUUUUUUAACUUUUUAGUUUUUGAUAAAAUGUUUUUCUUGAAAACUAAAUGUGUGUAUUGCAAUAAAUUCAUUGAAAAUCCAUAAAAGGCAACAAAAAGUCAAGUUUCGCCAAAUUAAAUACGUAAAAUCUAAAAUUAAUAAAUAAACAGUAACAAAAAAAUACUUAAAAAGCAUAAAACUAGAAAAGCGAACUAGAGCAGUAGCGAUAUGAAUCCAGUAGAUGCGUACAAACUUACAUACAUACAAACGUAUGUGAUAUUGAAGAGUAAUGCGGCUGAGGCGUGGCCUGCAGUAGUUUGAAGUAGUAGAUAUGUAACUUUUGGCAUUGUUUUCGUCCGUCCACGUUGUUAGCUUUCAUAAAAGAGAAUAUAAUGAAUAUAGUAAAUAAAUAAAUUGUAAAAUAACAAACAAAUCCAUGUUAUAUAAUUGAAAAUGUUUCUUUGUAAAGCUGAAAUGAGAGACAGCAGGCAAACUGAGAGCGGCACAUGGAAUUCAGAAGUAUAAAAUAAACAAAAAAAAAUAAGAAUUAUGAAAUAGAAUAAAAUUAACGAAUAUUUACUUCCCAAAAAUGUAAAGUUCCACCACUUAAAUAUUUCCAAACCCAAACUUUUAAAAAACUAAUGUACAGAAUUAUAAAAAAGUUGAAAAUCAUUACUGUAAAUGCAAAAGGAAUCUCCAACUAGUAUCUAGAGCAUAUUAACUGCACUUAUUUACUCAAAUAUAUACAUACAUAUAUACACUUAUAUAAGGGCCGUUAGUUCACUGGCAUACAGGCCUGCAACAUGAAUACUAAUGCGCACAAACACACAGUUACCUAAUGCGUAUUUGUGGCUUUGAAAAAAAUUCAAAAAAUCCGAAUACACCGCGGUGUACACACACAUACUAACAAACGUAAGAUAAGCAAUCCAAAAACCGAAUUAAUAUUUGUACAGAGCUAAUAUCCUGUUCCUGUUGGCCAUGAAGAUCAGUCUUCCUACGAUAAGACGCCGUUCAGCAAAUGAAAAUAUGCAAAUACAACCCUGCUAUAUAUUUUUAAGAAAAUUUUAUGCGCUAUAAAACUAGUUUCGAUUCUUUAAAUUGGCUGGAAUUGUAGUGAUUUGUUGUACAUUUGAUUAUAUGAGUUUAAUAUCGGUAAUAUUUUGUUUUGGGUUCAAAAGUAGUGGCUUAGACGUCAAAAGGACUGGACUUGCUUGUGUUUCUUUACAAACCCAAGAGACUUCAGUACCGGCCUAAAGCGACAGUGUUUAAUUUAAUGUUCUUUAGAACUUUUCGAUUUAUCAAGUUCGUUUUUGAAAAAAACAUUAAAAUUUCAAACUUUUUCGAAUUUUUCUGUUUUUCAUUCAUUUAAAAAAAAUUCUGUUCUCCCUUUGGUCUUGCUAACAAGAGAUCUUCGGCUGCAUUUUAUCUCUCAUAUCUUAACAUUUUGAUUUAAUCUCCUGACCUCGCCACUUUUCUGGUAAAUACUAAAAUAUUGGAAAAACUGAAAAUUUAACUAAAUUUAACAACAAAGUUCUAAAUCCAUUUGCGCUGUAUCAAGAGUUCGCAUCGUCAUUACCAUUAUGGUUUCAGCAAAAAUUCAAGACAAAAAAGACUUUCUUCUGAUGCGCCAAUUCUUAUGUGAACUCAAUGCAUGUCAUUACUUGAAAAUUCAUUUGCAUUCAUGUCGCAUCAAUGAACAUUUUCCUUUUCAUUUUUUAUUUGAAAAGAUAUUUUCAUUUAAUUUGGCACAGAUUAUUGAUUAAAGUAGCGCUACGAUCUCCGAACAAAUUGCUCAGAUCGGAUCACUAUAGCACUAACUACCAUACAAAAUGACCGAUGAAAAUCAAGAUAAAUAUCGUUUUACACUUUUCAUGCUAUAAGAAAUGCACCUGUGAAGGGUAUUAUAACUUCGAUACUAACGAAGUCAACAUUUUUUCUUGUUUUUUUUUUUAUUAAAACAUUAUUAAAUUUAUCUUCAUCUUAAUAUUUAUUUUGAUGGUCAUUAAUUUUGAUAACCUCGUUAAGUCGUCUAGGUAGAGAUCAAACUAAGUGUUCCAAAAAGAUUUCUUCAAGCUUGUUCUCUUCCUGUAAAGCUGCAGUUAGGUCGAGUUUGCUUUGAAUUUUUAAUUAUCUGGGGGUUCUCUUCCAUUUCUUUCACAAGUGUUCAAUGGGGUGGAGGUCAGGACUCUGUGGAAGCAGGUUUAGUAAAUUUGGAUAUUUUUAAAAAAAUUUUAUAACAGCGAAAAAACAUUAUUAUAAAUCGAAAGUUUCAAGUUUAGCAGAAAACUCGCUCCUCUGUAAACACUUACUGUCCUUAUUUUUAAAUUUAUUUUUAAAAUUUUUUAUUAUAAUUUUUUUGUUUUUUCGUUGAUUUUUGACGAUAAAUAUCUCUUAACUUAAUCGAAAAUUCAUAUAAACCGUUUUUGUUCAGCAGAAAAUUUUCCACAAAACUAUAAGCGUUGCAAUUUAAAAUGAUGUUCUCUCAUUGAAUUAUAAAAUUCAAAAGAAAAAAUAACAAAUUUGCCUUAAAUUAGUCAAACUUCAACCAUUAAUAUUUUCGAAACAGUUAAGUUAACGAAAAAACCGUAGAAGUUCAUUUUCCAUUCAGUUUCCUAUAAAACCUAUGAACCGAAAUUUUUUUUAAAAUAGUUGGAAACGAGAUAGAAAUUUUUUAUCUGAUAAAAAGAAAAAAUAGAAAACUGUUGGGCGCACAGGGUUUGUGCGGAAAGUAAUAGGAUUGAGUCGUCAUGGAAGGCAUUCUCCGGAAUAGCCUUGAGCGCCGAGGUGCAUGCUGCUUGGAUCCCCUCUCUCUUUUCAAAGUGGCGUGUGUCACUCGGGAGAUUGCCUCUUUGCUUCGGGAUCAUACUCAAAGAUCCAUGACUCGUCACCUGUGAAUACGUUCUUCAAAAAUUGGGGGUCACGUUCACACAAGUUCAAAUAUUCUUGGCACACUUCCAUUCGCCGCAAUUUCUGGUCGUCAGUGAGCACUUUUGGGGACCAUCAAGUGCUCCGUCACAAUGUUAUGACCCACAUAGUUUGAUAAAUUUCACAUCUGGGCAAUUAAGCGAAUACUUAGUUAAGGUCUGUCGAAGUCGCAGGUCCCCCAGCACGGUCUUUAUCAGCGACUCUGCCCGGUCCUCCAAAAAGGCCUGGUGUUACCGAAACGUACCACUUCUUGCUAAAACAAUAUCUGAGUAAAUCUGCUUGAAGAUAUCAAAAGUUUCUGUCGCUGAUUUACCGAGUUUCACACAGAGUUUAAUCGCGUACCUCUGUUCUAACGAACGCUGCAUUGUCGGCGUGCACCACUCACAGAAACACGUCCCGCCAAAAUGUUUGUCUUGACUCUCCACCCCUCUACCGAAUCCAGUCAUUUUUCUUUUUCAACCUGAUCCCGUUUUUUAAAGCAGCCAAUGUCAUAUUGAAUAGUAGACCGGUUUCUGAACAAUAUUUUAGCUAUUUUCCUGUAAACCUACAACUAACUUAGGGUCUUCUUAGGUGUAUACUUUAGUUCUGCAAAAAAAAAGGUAAAAUACACAAGAAAAAAUCUCGUCCCCAAAGUCAAAAUAGAUCAGAUGAGAGCGCUUUAACAAUCACGUAUAACAUAAUUUUUAUGGUAUCGGGUUUGGAACUAAUUUACGUUUCUCUCAAAAUAUAAGUCUUCAAUAAUAAGCAUGUAAGUGAAAAAGUAUUUUCACCUGCUGUAUCAUGACUUUAGUAGCACACUGUAUUAGCUGCGUACUAAGCUUUAAACGAAAAUCAACCUGCAUGAGAAGUUUACCAAUAUAUUUAUUGUGGAACGUUUUGACAUUUGAUAAAAACCAGAAAAUCAGUUGAUCGAUGCCCAAGUAAUUACAAUUGUGACAACCUUACUUUGCCUUUAAUUGGGAAUUAAAAAUAUGAGCUUAUUAUAUGUAUAAGUAAGUGAGUACUUUAUUGUCUACUUUUAGGUAAAAAUACAAAUAACGCCAGAGAACUAAGAGCAGCUUGCAAAGCUUGCUUAUUCUACCAAAUUUUGGUUUUUAAAAAUUUUUAAAUACAAAUUUUUCAUUUUUGUUAAAAAGGCCACUACCUUCUUCUUCUUUUGAUAAGAGGUUUUGAGAUUAACAAUUUAAAAUUAUGCAUACAGGGUGCCCUUCGGUCUUAAACAAUUUAUUUUGACCAUUUUAUGAACAAGAUCAAUCUAGAACCGCCCUUAUCGUCGACAUCUACCUUUACUUUUCCGGGCAUCUCGUGCAGUGUCAUUCGACACAAAUGUUUGCUUUGUGCAUACUUAGGAUUGAUUGCAUCCAUUUAGUUUUUCGGAUAAUCCCACAAAAGGACUUAGAUGGAUUCAAAUCUGUAUAUCUGUAUAUCUGGCUGGCUAGUCAGCCCUUUGGAAAGCACACGUCUAGAAAUUUAUCUAAUUUAAAGACAAAUCAUAAAUUAAUAAAAUUAUUAAAUAAGUUAAUAAUGUUACUUUCUUAAAAUUAACUUACAAAAAAAGCGAGUGACAUUGUGUAGCUUCUUAGUUCUGUCUCAUUCUUCAUAGAGCGGGUUUUUGAUAAAACAGUUAUUUUUCAGUUGGGUUAUUAUAUCCAUUAUUUGUGACCAAACCGAAUUAAACUCAUACAUUUUUUUAAUUCAGUUUUUAAUUUUAUUACAUUUUUUUUAACUCGUCAAAACAAGGUCCAAGCUCUUCUAAUUAGGUGCCACAAAUGAAGAAAAACAGUAGAAUGUGCAAGAUUAAAAUAGAAAGAAGCAAUGCUCUGUGGAAUAUGUAUAUUUUGGUGUAAUUCUCGCACAUUCCCGUGCAAUUGUAAUUGAAAUACUUAAAGUACCUUAAGCCAUUCGGCAUUAAAACCUUUUAAUAUAGAACAAUUCAUAAUUCGAAAAACGUAAAAUAGUUGACUUUAAACAUUAAUUAAUUAAAUAAAUAAAAACAACAAAUAUAUAAGAAAAUGCAUUACAAUUAAUUAACAGUUAAGUAAUUUUAUUAACUAAAAUACCAAUACGAUUACAUAUAUAAACCACUGAACUUGAUGUCAAAUACAGCAAAAAAAGUGUAAAAAUUGCAAACAGAAUUAAAACAAAAACACCAAUUGUGUAAAUUUUCGGAAAUAAGCAACUUUUAAAAAAUAAUAAGCUUUCUUAAAAAACUAAAAAGUUUAACAAUAUUUCAGAUAAGCAAAUACAAUUAAGAGAACAAUUCCAUGCGCACUUUUUAUUAAACACACACAAUCACAUAGCGAUAUUGCGGUACUUGGUGCGUUACGUUUACAGACAAGCAUUACGAUUACAAUAUUUUCGGCGCAAAAUAAAUGACGACAAAACUUGUUGUUUGAAAACUACGCAGUUCGUUUGAAUCAGGGUUGCAAAUAAUGCACUAACAGUAAUUGAAUUGGUUUUUCCAUUUAUUAUUUUUUAUUCUGCAAUCCCGACUAUUUUAUUAUAAUUAAAAAUAAAUUUUUGAUUUUUAACACCACACACCGGAUUAAAAAAAAAAUUAUUCCAAAUUUGAAUGAAAUAUUUAAAUUAUUUUAAAUUUUAUUAUUUUAAAAUUUAUAUUUUUAUUUAUAUUUUUAUUAAUUUAAAAAAUUAUAAUUUUAAUCCCAAAUAUCUGACUGAAAAAAAUAAAAUGUUUAUAUCAUUUUUAAAAUUUAAAAUUUUAAUUUACUCUGGGCAUCAAAUGAAAGCGUAAAUUGUAUACAUAUGUAUAUUACAUACUUGCGCCCUCAGAUCAUUUACUUCCCAAAUUUUCGCUUAAGAAUAAAUCCAUAAAGCAUUUCAUGAAGAUGCACCGAUAUGUAAAUGAUCAGUUGAAGUAAAAUUUGCACUUAUUAUUUAUGCGCAAAAACUAUUUCCGUGAUCUUCGCUGGUGAGCCUAUGAGUGCGCGUCAAAUGAAAGUAUAAUUUUAGUUCUGGUUCAUUUCUUUCAAGGUUAAACUGAAUUUUACUACAGAUUUAAUAAAUUUGCAAUUCCUAAAUGAAUUUCUGUUAAGGUGAAUAUUUUUUAGUUCUGUUCUUAGUUAAAAACACUGAAUAAACUGAAGAAAUACAGAACUUUAUAGAAGAAGAUGGAAAGAGAAGUGAAACGUGUCGAAAAAUAUCUGAAAAAUAUUCCAAUUUUAUCGGAGGGGCAAGAAAUAUUUUUGAAAACUUCAAGAAAAAGAAGACAUACAAGACUAUACGGUGGAGGUCCCAAGCCUAAUUGCUAUACUUGCUGAGCGACUUAUACGAAGAAAAGUUGCUGGAAACCCUGAAAGACCUUGGGUUUGAUCGAGGAGCUGUUGAUUUUUCCAACAGUACAAUGCAAAGGAAACUACGAACAUCUGGUUUUAAAAACUACAAUAUGUCGCAAAACACGACCAAUGAUUUCCAUAGUGAAUAGGAAAAAAGACUAGGCUGUGCAAAACUAAAUCUAAAUAUGCCAACUACAUUUUGGGAUGAAGUGAUUUGGUUCGAUGAACUCAAAUUCAAGGUAAGGAGUUCAAACGUGUCAGGCGAGAGUGGUGUAAACCUUCUCAUUGCUUAAGGGGUUACAUAGGUUUCCUCGGGUAAAAAACACCCUUUUAUCAAAAAGUUUUUUCAUAUAAAAAUGAAAUGUUUUUUAUUGUUACAAAAAUACACUAUUAAAAAAGAAAUUCUAAAGUUUUUGGAAAAAAAUAUUAUAAAUUCGGUCCGGUGACCCCUCGGAAAAAAGAUGCGCCCGUGUUGGCAGGAUAAUUUCUUACAAGAUCAUCUAAAGUGAAAAAAUAUGUAUUUUAGUUAAAACCUUAACUUUGAAUUUGGACGAAGGAAACAAAAACUGAAAAUUGGAUUUUGGCUAGACAGUUUUACAAAAAAUUAAAAUUUCAGUGAAAAUUUCGCCACAUUUUUUUUUCAAAUAUUUGUAAUCAAAAAUAAAAUUCAUCAAGUCUUUAAGAAUUGCAUCUCAAAGACUUGUUUAAAUUUCAUGAAGAUCGGUUGAGUAGUUCUCGAGAAAUUUAGCCAACCAACUUCACAAACACAGUUUCGAGAAAAACGCGUAUAAAGACGACGAACUUAGCCCAGCUAGCCUCGAGCACACAAGUUCUCAAGGCUGUAUCUCCGAAGCUAUUACACGGAUCAACUCGAAAAUUUAAGACAAUAUAUUAUAAUAUUUUGGAGGUGUUAUAAAAUUUAAAAGACAAUAUUUAAAAUUGAUUUUUUGAAACCCGUAAACUCAUGAAGAAGAACCCAUGUAACCCCUUAAAACCACAGCGCAUACAAAUAUCAGUCAAGCAUGGAAGAGGUUAUCUCAUGGUUUGGGGCUGUUUUUCAAAAUACGGUGUAUAUAGUUUAGUUAAAAUCGACGAACGAAUGACGGGUGCUUCCUGUGUUGCCACUCUUAGCGAAAAUUUGACAAUAAGUGCAGAAAAAUUGAAUUUGGUUUCGUUUAACUUCCAACAACAUAACGACUCCAAACGCAAGUCCGGUCUGUCUACCCGCUUUUUUGAAGAAUGCUUAAUCGAAAAACUAACCUGCCAGCUAAGUCAGCGGAUUUAAUUCCAGUUGAGGAUUUGUGCUAAAUUUUUUAUUUCAAAAUACCAAAAAUCAGCCGUACAAUCUUGGAAUAUCGUUUCUUAGAGAUGAAGCGUCAAUGGGAUAAUAUUCCAAUGAAAAUAUUAGAAAAUUUGUUUCGACGCAUGCCAAAACGUCUUCGUGCUGUAAUUCAGAGCAAAGAUGAGAAUAGUAAUUACUAAAUUUACUUUUCACCAAGUGUUUUGCAUUUUUUCAAAGUUUUUACUUUUAUUUCACCACCUUUUGUUUAAGAAUCCCUAUUUUGAGGGCGAGGUAAUUUUUUUCUACUCCUGGAAGAAGAUAUCUUAAUUUAUAAUUUCUUAGUAAACACCUAUGUAUUUUAAUAAAUCUGCAUGGAAAUAACGUAAUACCAUGUUCAGACAGAAAAUUUAAAAGAUUAGAUUAUAUUUAAGCAUUUCAUAACUCAACAGUGUUCUCACUGCCGUUAGAAAGAUCAAAAAACAGCUGUUAUUGUCAUUCAAGAAUUCACAUCGCUUAAUAUUUAUCAAAAGAAAAGAUUGUCAUAUAGUAUUUUGAAAUAAAAAGACGGCGUUUUUUAACAUUUUCCAUAUAAUAGAAAUAAUGGAUGCAUUUUUUCAUUUGUUAAGUCGAUUUUCAGAUGAAAUUAGAUUCAUUGCUUAAAAAAAAUUUGUUUGUUUACAUUUUUUCCCUUUGUAGUGUCUAAAUCAGCUGUGAUAAUGUAACAGAUUUCCAGUGCUGACAAGUAGAUUGCGCAAAAUCAGAGUCGCACAGAGAGAUUUAGCGUGGAUCAGUUUCAAAUCAUUUCAAUGAAGUGAUUUGGAACUGUCAUUUUUGUAUGGCGAAAUCUUGAUAAAUUUUUAAGAUUAGUGGGAUAAUCCAUUCAACAGCCGAAAUCGUGUGAUUAAGUGUCGGUCUGAACAUGGUAUAACGCGAAAUUUAUACUUUCAUUUGAUGCCUAGUGUAUAUAUCAUCAGUUUUUAAUUCUGAUUUUACUAUUAAACCAUAAGCUUUAAACUUUUACUUUGGAAUCAAAAAAUAAAGUUUUAAAUUUUUGAUGCCAAACAUCCUGUAUUAAAAAUAUGAUCUCGUAUUAACUUUUAGUACCAAGAUCGGAAUAUAAAAAUGAAAAACCUAAUUCGGAUAAACAAUUUUUGAUUAAAAAAAAGUUCGUAACCCUAGUUCGAAUUAUAUUUUUGUCUGCAAACUUGUACCAUACACAGGUCGAAAUAUACUACUAUAAUUGUAGUUAUAGUUGUGAUCGAUCUAUUUAAUGUUCUUAUGUAGUAUAAUUUUUAUACACAUAUGUACAUAUAUUUUAUAUACAUAAAUCUUUGUAAUUCUGCAUCCAAUAUAUGUACAUAUAGUUCAUGGGUAUUCAGAAGUGAUUCAUUAACAAUUAAUAUAUUUUUGGAUUAAAUCACUUUGGAACCAUUUAUUAAAUAACUAGUAUUGAAAAGCUGCAGAUCAAAAUAUGGAAUAUACGUAACGAACCACAAGUCACACUUUAACAAUCAAUGUUCGACAACUAGUCGAAAUGGUCAUCUUUUGCUUUCACACAAUCGCUCAAACGAUUCGGACAUUGAGCAAAGGUACACGCAUAGUUUUCGUUGGUAUUGACGAAGCUGCUCGAAUCAAAGCUGUUUUGAGAUUCUCCGAAUUUCUGUGGUCCAUGUUCUCCAACUUUGACCACAAAAUGUAGUUCCCAACUUCCAGAGGACCCAUCAUUGAACAUUUUUUGCGUCUUUGAAAGCUUUUGUGUAGAUUUUGUCGUUUUGAUUAUUGUAAACUGCCUCAACCGUAACAAUUUUUUCAUCUAUAAAAAAGCUUAAUUUAAUGUUGAGUAUAGUUUUUCCUUAAGCGAAAUUCAUUAUUUGAAGUUUUGUGCAGAGAAAUGGAAAAUUCUAAUUUUUAUUUUAAGCCACCAAGUCAGUGGGAAAAUCUGCAGAUAUUGCUUAAUUUUUAUUUGUGUUUAGUUACUUAACUAAAUUUAAAAUAUAUAAGAUACAUUUAUAUACAUUUUAAGUCGACAGGAAAAUAAUAAUAUUUUAUAAAAGUAGUGUGACUCUUUACUUUUCUUUAGCUUAAACAAAAACAGACAUAUCAAUGAAAAUGCUUUGUACACAUAAUUUGAGAAACUUUCUUAAUUUAUUUUAUUAAGUUUUAUUUUUUAUUGUUUUUAUAUUUAUGGAAAACAAAAUUUUGAAGGAUCAUAUUAACCAUAUAUGUUAUAAAAACCAUGCUUUAACUUAUUUAAAAAAUGCAACAUUGCCAGAAAACAAAUAAAUAAAAAAGCAAAAACAGUAGAAACAACAUGCAGCAAGCUAAGCUUUAAAAACGCACACAAAUUGCGUCACGUGGUGAAAUUCCAGCUGUAAAACAUUUUUAAAUUAUAGAAACAAGCAAACCAGUAUGAGCGACGGAGAAACAAACAUAAAAACGAAAAUAUUUAUUGCCAGCAAUUAUGCUACAGUUGUUAGAUGUGCGAUUACAAGCGUACUGUUAUAAUAAUUUAUAGCAAAAACUACGAUUCUCUCAAUGAAACUAAGUUAACAGGUUCCCUGUCCAAUGUAUCACAUGUGAUACAAAAUUAUUUUCUUGUACCAUGUGUACGGCGUCCAUGUAUCAUAUAUGAACAAAUUUUUGGUUGAUUUGAAAUAAGUUUAUUAACAGCAGAAUGUCUAGAUCCGUAAUAGUGGUCGGCAUUUCAUAGCAAAAUUUUGCAAACUAACUUCACACGUACGCUUACGCUCUAUCGUUCAGUCGUUGUCGAGCCAGCAACGAAUUAACAUUACGCAGGACUAUACCGCAAAACCAAAUAUGCCCUGCGAGAAAUAUUUUAUGAUUCUAAAUGCCUUUGGUGCCAUGCAGUGCCUUUUAUGUUCCACGUCUUUUAAAGAUAAUAGGGAAUAUAUCCUUAAAAGACAUUUUGUUAAUUUUCAUUAUACUCUUAAUUAUUUAUAAAAUUUGCUUAAUUUUAAUUACAAUUUCUCACUGGACUACUUUUUUUUCGUGCUCACCAACACAGUGACAGAUCCUCUCAUGCCGACCACUGAUCUGUAAGCAAAGAACUAUUCAACACUGUACGAAAGAGAGAGAGCGAGCGAGAGCGCACCAACACUCUGUACAGCUGUAAAAUUGUAAAAAUACCGUUUUAUUUAGAUAUUUCAUUGUAUAAAGCGAAAAAGUAAAAAAAAAAAUCAUGUGAAUUAAAGAAAAAAGUUCAAAACUUCAGCAAAACUGACUACUUAAAACACACUGCAAUUCUUUGAAGAACUUUUGGCUGCUCUCACCGAAUGCUGCCAAUGAUUUCACACUCACAAGUAAGUUGUAAAAUUGCAUACCUUUACAUACUUACACACAUACAUAUGUACAUGGUACUUAUAACAUACUUGUAGCUCAGUAACUGUAAAACUACGAAAGUAAGAUUUUAAACUAAAUAGCAAAAGCGAUUAUUUAACCACACACAUAGAGAGUAAUAGCUAAAAAAUGUUAAACUAACUGUAAAGCGGUGCUCAGCAACCCCACUUACAUACAUACAUAUAUACAAAACUCACAUAAGUACAUACUUAUAUAAAUGCCAUAUGAAAAUUAUGUACUGUUAUAAUCACUGAUAGGUUUUGACUUGCAUUGCUGUAUUAUUACACCCAACACUUUUUCCUUAAAUUUACCGUUAUGAUUACAUUAAUUCCGCCAACCAAGAUUAUUUACUUCUAAUUCUAGUUAAACUCUUUCCGAAUUGUUAACAAGUCUUGUAAAUUAAAAAAAAAAUUAAAAACAGCAAAAAUUUACAAGUUACUAAACACUUAGUAUAUAUACACAUAGAUUAUAUAUUCUAUCUUUACAUAACAUACAUACUGAAUAUACUUAAUAUACAUAGAACAUACAUACAAAUGUAAGUGAAGCUGCGCUGAAGCGAAAGUGGUGCAAAUGCAAGUGAUAGACAACACUUUGCACUUUCUGUGUAAACAAAAUAAAUUAAUUACAUCAAUAAAGUUUUAUUAUUAAUACUUUAGUCAGAACAGAAAAAAGAAAGAA
Molecule: long non-coding RNA, 12563 nt
Organism: Bactrocera neohumeralis
Lineage: Eukaryota; Metazoa; Arthropoda; Insecta; Diptera; Tephritidae
Exons: 2
Source: RefSeq, a predicted model, not a curated record